RNAcentral lists this ribosomal RNA (1374 nucleotides) under Triticum aestivum (bread wheat). Its description in RNAcentral is "partial small subunit ribosomal RNA". Lineage: Eukaryota; Viridiplantae; Streptophyta; Magnoliopsida; Poales; Poaceae. The record is from RNAcentral.
AUGUGGUUCCAGGCGUUUAAACGCCGGCAGCGCCCGGUCUCAUGGGAUAAUUUUUUAGCAGCUAUUUUGGAGGAAUUUGGUGCAGAUGAGUAUGACAGUCAGUUGUCCAAGUUACUGCAACUCAAACAAACAGGAUCUGUUGCCGAGUACAAGCAACAAUUUGAGACUGUCAUGUACCAUCUGACAGCUCUCGAUCCUUCUCUGAACUCAUGGUGGUUUGUCACCCAGUUCAUGCUUGGACUGAGGGAUGACAUCAGGUGUGCCGUACGGUUGCAGGCGCCCUCCAGUGUCACGCGUGCGGCGUCUUUGGCCAGGAUCCAGGAAGAAGAAGGAGAGACACACAGGCCUCGUGGGCGUCCUCCUGCUCCAACCAAGCACCCACCUACCUCAACAGUGCAGCCAACUAUGACAACAACACCACGCACAGAUUGGCCGCGUCGCACUGGUAAUGAUGAUUUCAACCGUGAACGUCAGCUUCGUGAUUUUCGUCAUGCUAAUGGUCUUUGUUUCAAGUGUGGGGACAAAUACAACAAAGAGCAUCAGUGUCGUCGAACGGGGCAAUUGUUGACCAUCGAAGUGGGGGACUAUGGGGAAGUUAUUUCUGAUGAAGUUGUUCAUGCCCUGAGUCUUCUCGAUGAAACAACAACAACAACCACAACUGGGGAAUGUUGUCAGUUAUCUGUACAUGCUCUCGCGGGUACUGAAUUGUUACACACGAUUCGUUUGCAGGCUACUGUUGAUGGCCAGGCAAUGUUGCUUUUGGUCGAUUCGGGCAGCUCACAUACAUUUGUGACCCAAUCUUUUGCUGAGCGUGCCAACUGCAUUGUUACAGCAGCUCCAGCAGUGCCGGUUAGAGUUGCCAAUGGUCAGUUUCUGCAUUCAGACUCUCAAGUACAAGGACUGAAGUGGUGCACACAGGGCCAUGAAUUUUCUACUGACAUGCGCAUCCUUGAGCUGGGGGCAUAUGAUGCCAUUCUUGGAAUGGAUUGGCUCACUUGUUUCAGUCCUAUGAACUGUCACUGGGGAGAGAAGACCAUGCAAUUUCAGUAUCACGACCAACUGAUUACCCUACAAGGAAUUGUAGUUGCAGAGCAAGGGGUGUUACAGGAAUUGCAUGCAGAACAACUAGUGAAAUGGUUGGAUGACAAUGAAGUAUGGGCCCUGGCUGUAGUUGAGAAUUUCUCGACGGUGGACAAGCAGCAGUCUCCUCUAGCACCUGAUCUUCAGGCAUUGCUAACCGAAUUUUCAGAUGUGUUUUCCGAGCCAAAUUUUGUGCCACCUCGGAGAUCUUUGGACCAUGCCAUCACUCUGCAACAGGAUGCACAACCAGUAAAUUCCAGACCCUAUCGAUACUCUCCCUUGCAAAAAAGAUGA